GGGCCAGACUCCUACGGGAGGCAGCAGUGGGGGAUAUUGCACAAUGGGGGGAACCCUGAUGCAGCGACGCCGCGUGGGUGAAGGAGUAUUUCGGUAUGUAAAGCCCUAUCGGCAGGGAAGAAGCAAGACGGUACCUGACUAAGAAGCACCGGCUAACUCCGUGCCAGCAGCCGCGGUAAUACGGAGGGUGCGAGCGUUAAUCGGAAUUACUGGGCGUAAAGCGCUCGUAGGCGGUACGUCAAGUCAAGGGUGAAAUCCCCGCGCUCAACGUGGGAACUGCCUUUGAAACUGGCAAACUGGAGUGUGUGAGAGGAUAGUGGAACUCCAGGUGUAGGAGUGAAAUCCGUAGAUAUCUGGAGGAACAUCAGUGGCGAAGGCGACUAUCUGGCACAUAACUGACGCUGAGGAGCGAAAGCGUGGGUAGCAAACAGGAUUAGAUACCCCCGUAA
RNAcentral lists this ribosomal RNA (449 nucleotides) under uncultured bacterium. RNAcentral's name for it is "bacterial SSU rRNA". It matches the Rfam family "Bacterial small subunit ribosomal RNA", at positions 328 to 793 of the family's 1533-position model. The record is from RNAcentral.